RNAcentral lists this ribosomal RNA (264 nucleotides) under uncultured archaeon. RNAcentral's name for it is "partial 16S ribosomal RNA". It matches the Rfam family "Archaeal small subunit ribosomal RNA", at positions 717 to 982 of the family's 1478-position model. The record is from RNAcentral.
AGACGUCUACAUUAGAUACCCCGGUAGUCCCAGCCGUAAACUAUGCGCGUUAGGUGUAUCGGUGACCACGAGUCACCGAGGUGCCGAAGGGAAACCGUGAAACGUGCCGCCUGGGAAGUACGGUCGCGAGGCUGAAACUUAAAGGAAUUGGCGGGGAGCACCACAACGGGUGGAGCCUGCGGUUUAAUUGGACUCAACGCCGGGAAGCUCACCGGAUAAGACAGCGGAAUGAUUGCCGGGCUGAAGACUCUGCAUGACUAGCUG